RNAcentral lists this ribosomal RNA (384 nucleotides) under uncultured bacterium. Its description in RNAcentral is "bacterial SSU rRNA". It matches the Rfam family "Bacterial small subunit ribosomal RNA", at positions 28 to 412 of the family's 1533-position model. The record is from RNAcentral.
GACGAACGCUGGCGGCGUGCUUAACACAUGCAAGUCGAGCGGUAAGGCCCUUUCGGGGGUACGACGAGCGGCGAACGGGUGAGUAACACGUGGGUGACCUGCCCUUAGCUCUGGGAUAAGCCUGGGAAACUGGGUCUAAUACCGGAUAUGACUCCAUGACGCAUGUUGUGGGGUGGAAAGCCUUGUGCGGCUAGGGAUGGGCCCGCGGCCUAUCAGCUUGUUGGUGGGGUGAUGGCCUACCAAGGCGACGACGGGUAGCCGGCCUGAGAGGGCGACCGGCCACACUGGGACUGAGACACGGCCCAGACUCCUACGGGAGGCAGCAGUGGGGAAUCUUGCGCAAUGGGCGAAAGCCUGACGCAGCGACGCCGCGUGAGGGAUGAC